ACUGUGAAGCCUGUCAUAUGAGGAAAGGCUAAGAAAACUGGGCUUGUUCAGCCUUGAGAAAAAAAGGCUUAGGGGAGACUUUAUCACCAUGGUCCAGUAUUUAAAGGAUAGCUCCAGAGAA
Long non-coding RNA from Strigops habroptila (Kakapo), 121 nucleotides. RefSeq lists it as uncharacterized. The record is from RefSeq and is a predicted model, not a curated record. Lineage: Eukaryota; Metazoa; Chordata; Aves; Psittaciformes; Psittacidae. The transcript has 3 exons.